This 464-nucleotide ribosomal RNA is filed under the name uncultured bacterium. RNAcentral describes it as "partial 16S ribosomal RNA". It matches the Rfam family "Bacterial small subunit ribosomal RNA", at positions 339 to 795 of the family's 1533-position model. The record is from RNAcentral.
CUACGGGGUGCAGCAGUGGGGAAUAUUGCACAAUGGGCGCAAGCCUGAUGCAGCCAUGCCGCGUGUAUGAAGAAGGCCUUCGGGUUGUAAAGUACUUUCGGCGGGGAGGAAGGGAGUAAAGUUAAUACCUUUGCUCAUUGACGUUACCCGCAGAAGAAGCACCGGCUAACUCCGUGCCAGCAGCCGCGGUAAUACGGAGGGUGCAAGCGUUAAUCGGAAUUACUGGGCGUAAAGCGCACGCAGGCGGUUUGUUAAGUCAGAUGUGAAAUCCCCGGGCUCAACCUGGGAACGGCAUCUGAUACUGGCAGGCUUGAGUCUCGUAGAGGGGGGUAGAAUUCCAGGUGUAGCGGUGAAAUGCGUAGAGAUCUGGAGGAAUACCGGUGGCGAAGGCGGCCCCCUGGACGAAGACUGACGCUCAGGUGCGAAAGCGUGGGGAGCAAACAGGAUUAGAUACCCGCGUAGUC